CAAACGGCUCUUUUCAGAACCACUCAAAUAUUUAUUACGAAAGGAA
Non-coding RNA from Harpegnathos saltator (Jerdon's jumping ant), 46 nucleotides. NCBI's taxonomy places the organism in Eukaryota, Metazoa, Arthropoda, Insecta, Hymenoptera, Formicidae. The record is from Rfam.